RNAcentral lists this ribosomal RNA (672 nucleotides) under Anthracoidea carphae. RNAcentral describes it as "LSU rRNA". It matches the Rfam family "Eukaryotic large subunit ribosomal RNA", at positions 79 to 662 of the family's 3401-position model. Lineage: Eukaryota; Fungi; Basidiomycota; Ustilaginomycetes; Ustilaginales; Anthracoideaceae. The record is from RNAcentral.
CCUAGUAACGGCGAGUGAAGAGGGAAGAGCCCAAGAUUGAAAGCUGGCGUCGCGUGCCGACGUACCGCAUUGUAAUCUCAAGAAGCGCGAUCCGCCUCGGACCAGGUCCAAGUCCGUUGGAAAAGGGCAUCAUGGAGGGUGAGAAUCCCGUGUGUGACCUGGAGCCGCCGAGGUGCUGCGAUGCGUUUUUUCUCCGAGUCGAGUUGUUUGGGAAUGCAGCUCAAAAUGGGUGGUAAAUGCCAUCUAAGGCUAAAUACAGGGGAGAGACCGAUAGCGAACAAGUACCGUGAGGGAAAGAUGCAAAGAACUUUGGAAAGAGAGUUAAACAGUACGUGAAAUUGCCAGAAGGGAAGGGUAGGAAGUCAGCGAUGCGGGGGCGUGGUUCAGCGGUGGGUGUGGAGCGCCUUAAUCAAGCGCGAGACAGCCCUGCGAAGACGGCGCGACUCUGCAGGCCAACGUCGGUUCUGUGGCGCGGGAAAGCGGGGCACGGGAAUGUGGCACUUUUUCACGAGAGUGUGUUAUAGCCCGAGCCUUCUGAGUCUGGACCAGCGACGGGGACCGUGGCAUGCAGCGUGAUGCUGGGGCUGUCAAAGGCCGCGGUGUUAGGCCUUCGGGCACUAUUCACGCUGAGGGCGUUGGUUACAUGACCGUCUACCACCCGUCUUGAAACAC